This 301-nucleotide ribosomal RNA is filed under the name uncultured bacterium. RNAcentral describes it as "partial 16S ribosomal RNA". It matches the Rfam family "Bacterial small subunit ribosomal RNA", at positions 509 to 807 of the family's 1533-position model. The record is from RNAcentral.
CAGCAGCCGCGGUAAUACGAAGGGUGCAAGCGUUACUCGGAAUUACUGGGCGUAAAGCGUGCGUAGGUGGUGGUUUAAGUCCGUUGUGAAAGCCCUGGGCUCAACCUGGGAAUUGCAGUGGAUACUGGAUCACUAGAGUGUGGUAGAGGAUAGUGGAAUUUCCGGUGUAGCAGUGAAAUGCGUAGAGAUCGGAAGGAACAUCUGUGGCGAAGGCGACUAUCUGGGCCAACACUGACACUGAGGCACGAAAGCGUGGGGAGCAAACAGGAUUAGAUACCCCGGUAGUCCCUGUCUCUUAUAC